This 747-nucleotide ribosomal RNA is filed under the name uncultured bacterium. RNAcentral describes it as "bacterial SSU rRNA". It matches the Rfam family "Bacterial small subunit ribosomal RNA", at positions 31 to 773 of the family's 1533-position model. The record is from RNAcentral.
GAACGCUGGCGGCAGGCCUAACACAUGCAAGUCGAGCGGUAGAGAGAAGCUUGCUUCUCUUGAGAGCGGCGGACGGGUGAGUAAUGCCUAGGAAUCUGCCUGGUAGUGGAGGAUAACGUUCGGAAACGGACGCUAAUACCGCAUACGUCCUACGGGAGAAAGCAGGGGACCUUCGGGCCUUGCGCUAUCAGAUGAGCCUAGGUCGGAUUAGCUAGUUGGUGGGGUAAUGGCUCACCAAGGCGACGAUCCGUAACUGGUCUGAGAGGAUGAUCAGUCACACUGGAACUGAGACACGGUCCAGACUCCUACGGGAGGCAGCAGUGGGGAAUAUUGGACAAUGGGCGAAAGCCUGAUCCAGCCAUGCCGCGUGUGUGAAGAAGGUCUUCGGACUGUAAAGCACUUUAAGUUGGGAGGAAGGGCAGUAAAUUAAUACUUUGCUGUUUUGACGUUACCGACAGAAUAAGCACCGGCUAACUCUGUGCCAGCAGCCGCGGUAAUACAGAGGGUGCAAGCGUUAAUCGGAAUUACUGGGCGUAAAGCGCGCGUAGGUGGUUCGUUAAGUUGGAUGUGAAAUCCCCGGGCUCAACCUGGGAACUGCAUUCAAAACUGACGAGCUAGAGUAUGGUAGAGGGUGGUGGAAUUUCCUGUGUAGCGGUGAAAUGCGUAGAUAUAGGAAGGAACACCAGUGGCGAAGGCGACCACCUGGACUGAUACUGACACUGAGGUGCGAAAGCGUGGGGAGCAAAC